This 503-nucleotide ribosomal RNA is filed under the name uncultured Glomeromycotina. RNAcentral's name for it is "SSU rRNA". It matches the Rfam family "Eukaryotic small subunit ribosomal RNA", at positions 591 to 1097 of the family's 1831-position model. The record is from RNAcentral. Lineage: Eukaryota; Fungi; Glomeromycota.
CCAAUAGCGUAUAUUAAAGUUGUUGCAGUUAAAAGCUCGUAGUUGAAUUUCGGGAUCAAUGUUUCGGUCAUGCCGUUGGUAUGUACUGAUAUUAUUGAUUUCUCACCUUCUAAAGAACCGUAAUGCCAUUAAUUUGGUGUCACGGGGAAUUAGGACUGUUACCUUGAAAAAUUAGAGUGUUUAAAGCAGGCUCACGCUUGAAUACAUUAGCAUGGAAUAAUGAAAUAGGACAUCCGAUUCUAUUUUGUUGGUUUCUAGGAUCGAUGUAAUGAUUAAUAGGGAUAGUUGGGGGCAUUAGUAUUCAAUUGUCAGAGGUGAAAUUCUUGGAUUUAUUGAAGACUAACUACUGCGAAAGCAUUUGCCAAGGAUGUUUUCAUUAAUCAAGAACGAAAGUUAGGGGAUCGAAGACGAUCAGAUACCGUCGUAGUCUUAACCAUAAACUAUGCCGACUAGGGAUCGGAUGAUGUUAAUUUUUAAUGACUCAUUCGGCGCCUUACGGGAAA